CUGUGAGGAAGCGAGUUGUUAUCUUUGGUUAUCUAGCUGUAUGAGUGUGUUGGUCUUCAUAAAGCUAGAUAACCGAAAGUAAAAACUCCUUCAUGAUCAUCGU
This is a microRNA precursor of Chelonoidis abingdonii (Abingdon island giant tortoise), 103 nucleotides long. The record is from Ensembl. Lineage: Eukaryota; Metazoa; Chordata; Testudines; Testudinidae.